RNAcentral lists this ribosomal RNA (253 nucleotides) under uncultured bacterium. Its description in RNAcentral is "partial 16S ribosomal RNA". It matches the Rfam family "Bacterial small subunit ribosomal RNA", at positions 524 to 776 of the family's 1533-position model. The record is from RNAcentral.
GACGUAGGGCGCGAGCGUUGUCCGGAUUUAUGGGGCGUAAAGAGCUCGUAGGCGGCUUGUCGCGUCGUCCGUGAAAACCUGCAGCUCAACUGCAGGCUUGCGGUCGAUACGGGCAGGCUAGAGUUCGGUAGGGGAGACUGGAAUUCCUGGUGUAGCGGUGAAAUGCGCAGAUAUCGAGAGGAACACCUGCGGCGAAGGCGGGUUGCUGGGCUGACACUGACGCUGAAGCGCGAAAGCUAGGGGAGCGAACGGG